RNAcentral lists this ribosomal RNA (1003 nucleotides) under Escherichia coli. RNAcentral's name for it is "partial 23S ribosomal RNA". It matches the Rfam family "Bacterial large subunit ribosomal RNA", at positions 194 to 1238 of the family's 2925-position model. Lineage: Bacteria; Pseudomonadati; Pseudomonadota; Gammaproteobacteria; Enterobacterales; Enterobacteriaceae. The record is from RNAcentral.
UGAAACAUCUAAGUACCCCGAGGAAAAGAAAUCAACCGAGAUUCCCCCAGUAGCGGCGAGCGAACGGGGAGGAGCCCAGAGCCUGAAUCAGUGUGUGUGUUAGUGGAAGCGUCUGGAAAGGCGCGCGAUACAGGGUGACAGCCCCGUACACAAAAAUGCACAUACUGUGAGCUCGAUGAGUAGGGCGGGACACGUGGUAUCCUGUCUGAAUAUGGGGGGACCAUCCUCCAAGGCUAAAUACUCCUGACUGACCGAUAGUGAACCAGUACCGUGAGGGAAAGGCGAAAAGAACCCCGGCGAGGGGAGUGAAAAAGAACCUGAAACCGUGUACGUACAAGCAGUGGGAGCCUCUUAAUGGGGUGACUGCGUACCUUUUGUAUAAUGGGUCAGCGACUUAUAUUCUGUAGCAAGGUUAACCGAAUAGGGGAGCCGAAGGGAAACCGAGUCUUAACUGGGCGUUAAGUUGCAGGGUAUAGACCCGAAACCCGGUGAUCUAGCCAUGGGCAGGUUGAAGGUUGGGUAACACUAACUGGAGGACCGAACCGACUAAUGUUGAAAAAUUAGCGGAUGACUUGUGGCUGGGGGUGAAAGGCCAAUCAAACCGGGAGAUAGCUGGUUCUCCCCGAAAGCUAUUUAGGUAGCGCCUCGUGAAUUCAUCUCCGGGGGUAGAGCACUGUUUCGGCAAGGGGGUCAUCCCGACUUACCAACCCGAUGCAAACUGCGAAUACCGGAGAAUGUUAUCACGGGAGACACACGGCGGGUGCUAACGUCCGUCGUGAAGAGGGAAACAACCCAGACCGCCAGCUAAGGUCCCAAAGUCAUGGUUAAGUGGGAAACGAUGUGGGAAGGCCCAGACAGCCAGGAUGUUGGCUUAGAAGCAGCCAUCAUUUAAAGAAAGCGUAAUAGCUCACUGGUCGAGUCGGCCUGCGCGGAAGAUGUAACGGGGCUAAACCAUGCACCGAAGCUGCGGCAGCGACACUAUGUGUUGUUGGGUAGGGGAGCG